RNAcentral lists this ribosomal RNA (376 nucleotides) under uncultured organism. RNAcentral's name for it is "partial 16S ribosomal RNA". It matches the Rfam family "Archaeal small subunit ribosomal RNA", at positions 477 to 851 of the family's 1478-position model. The record is from RNAcentral.
CAGCACCUCAAGUGGUCAGGAGGAUUAUUGGGGCCUAAAGCAUCCGUAGCCGGCUGCAUAAGUCUUCGGGUUAAAUUCAUAUGCUCAACAUAUGGGCUGCCGGAGAUACUGUGUAGCUAGGGAGUGGGAGAGGUGGACGGUACUCGAUAGGAAGGGGUAAAAUCCUUUGAUCUAUUGAUGACCACCUGUGGCGAAGGCGGUCCACUAGAACACGUCCGACGGUGAGGGAUGAAAGCUGGGGGAGCAAACCGGAUUAGAUACCCGGGUAGUCCCAGCUGUAAACAAUGCAAACUCAGUGAUGCAUUGGCUUGUGGCCAGUGCAGUGCCGCAGGGAAGCCGUUAAGUUUGCCGCCCGGGAAGUACGUACGCAAGUAUG